ACAAUGCAAGUCGAACGGUUAGAGGGGGCAACCCCCUUGAGAGUGGCGAACGGGUGAGUAAUAUAUCGGAACGUGCCCGGUCGUGGGGGAUAACGUAGCGAAAGUUACGCUAAUACCGCAUACGAUCUAAGGAUGAAAGCGGGGGAUCGCAAGACCUCGCGCGAUUGGAGCGGCCGAUAUCAGAUUAGGUAGUUGGUGGGGUAAAGGCUCACCAAGCCAACGAUCUGUAGCUGGUCUGAGAGGACGACCAGCCACACUGGAACUGAGACACGGUCCAGACUCCUACGGGAGGCAGCAGUGGGGAAUUUUGGACAGUGGACGCAAGUCUGAUCCAGCCAUUCCGCGUGCAGGAUGAAGGCCCUCGGGUUGUAAACUGCUUUUGUACGGAACGAAAAGGUUUCUCUUAAUACGAGGAGCUCAAGACGGUACCGUAAGAAUAAGCACCGGCUAACUACGUGCCAGCAGCCGCGGUAAUACGUAGGGUGCAAGCGUUAAUCGGAAUUACUGGGCGUAAAGCGUGCGCAGGCGGUUAUGUAAGACAGAUGUGAAAUCCCCGGGCUCAACCUGGGAACUGCAUUUGUGACUGCAUAGCUAGAGUACGGUAGAGGGGGAUGGAAUUCCGCGUGUAGCAGUGAAAUGCGUAGAUAUGCGGAGGAACACCGAUGGCGAAGGCAAUCCCCUGGACCUGUACUGACGCUCAUGCANUAAAAGGUGGGUCA
RNAcentral lists this ribosomal RNA (719 nucleotides) under uncultured Aquaspirillum sp. RNAcentral's name for it is "bacterial SSU rRNA". It matches the Rfam family "Bacterial small subunit ribosomal RNA", at positions 53 to 768 of the family's 1533-position model. The record is from RNAcentral. Lineage: Bacteria; Pseudomonadati; Pseudomonadota; Betaproteobacteria; Neisseriales; Aquaspirillaceae.